GCACUGCUGACGAGUUUCAAACAGGACAAAACAGCUGUCCGGUGC
RNAcentral lists this non-coding RNA (45 nucleotides) under Echinostoma caproni. The record is from RNAcentral. Lineage: Eukaryota; Metazoa; Platyhelminthes; Trematoda; Plagiorchiida; Echinostomatidae.